GACGAACGCUGGCGGCGUGCUUAACACAUGCAAGUCGAACGGGUCUGCCCUGUUUUUUGCGGGGUGGGUCAGUGGCGAACGGGUGAGUAACACGUGAGUAACCUGCCCCUCACUUCUGGAUAACCGCUUGAAAGGGUGGCUAAUACGGGGUGUUCUGGCUGUGCCGCAUGGUGUGGCUGGGAAAGAUUCACUUUUGUGGUGUUUUGGUGGGGGAUGGGCUCGCGGCCUAUCAGCUUGUUGGUGGGGUGAUGGCCUGCCAAGGCUGUGACGGGUAGCCGGCCUGAGAGGGUGGGCGGUCACACUGGGACUGAGAUACGGCCCAGACUCCUGCGGGAGGCAGCAGUGGGGGGUAUUGCACAAUGGGCGGAAGCCUGAUGCAGCGACGUCGCGUGAGGGAUGGAGGCCUUCGGGUUGUGAACCUCUUUCGCCGGUGAAGAAGGUCCUGCUCUUUGUGGUGGGGUUGACGGUAGCCGGGUUAUGAAGCGCCGGCUAACUACGUG
This 500-nucleotide ribosomal RNA is filed under the name uncultured bacterium. RNAcentral describes it as "partial 16S ribosomal RNA". It matches the Rfam family "Bacterial small subunit ribosomal RNA", at positions 28 to 507 of the family's 1533-position model. The record is from RNAcentral.